This 254-nucleotide ribosomal RNA is filed under the name uncultured bacterium. Its description in RNAcentral is "partial 16S ribosomal RNA". It matches the Rfam family "Bacterial small subunit ribosomal RNA", at positions 524 to 776 of the family's 1533-position model. The record is from RNAcentral.
GACGAACCACACGAACGUUAUUCGGAAUCAUUGGGCUUAAAGGGCGCGUAGGCGGCGGUGUAAGUUGGAAGUGAAAUCCCAUCGGCUCAACCGUGGAAUUGCUCCCAGUACUGCAUCGCUCGAGGGGGAUAGGGGUCUGCGGAACUACCGGUGGAGCGGUGAAAUGUGUUGAUAUCGGUGGGAACGCCAGUGGCGAAAGCGGCAGACUGGACCCUUCCUGACGCUGAGGCGCGAAAGCUAGGGGAGCAAACGGG